Molecule: ribosomal RNA, 210 nt
Filed under: uncultured bacterium
Lineage: Bacteria
Description: partial 16S ribosomal RNA
Rfam family: Bacterial small subunit ribosomal RNA
Source: RNAcentral
UAACGGGAGGGGAAGUACGCCCGGACCGAAAGGCGGAUUAAUACCGCAUAUGCCGAUGAUCGGGCAUCCGAUAGUCGGGAAAGGAGCAAUCCGGUACGAGAUGACCAUGCGGCUGAUUAGCUAGUUGGCGGGGUAGAAGCCCACCAAGGCGACGAUCAGUAGGGGACCUGAGAGGGCGAUCCCCCAUACGGGCACUGAGAUACGGGUCCG